GCUGCUCUGAUAAACACACACCUUUUUGUGGUGAGCAGCAGACAACGAUCUAAGAAGGUAUGAAUCUUGAUUGGCUGAGAUGUGA
RNAcentral lists this ribozyme (85 nucleotides) under human gut metagenome. Its description in RNAcentral is "HDV ribozyme from F. prausnitzii". It matches the Rfam family "HDV ribozyme from F. prausnitzii". The record is from RNAcentral.